AUGAACGUUGGCGGCGUGGAUUAGGCAUGCAAGUCGAACGAAUCCCUGUAGCAAUAUGGGGGGAAGUGGCGAAAGGGGCAGUAAGGUAUGGGUAACUUGCCUCGGGGACCGGGAUAGCCCUUCUAACGAAGGGGUAAUACCGGGCGUCGUGUCGAGGGGGCAUCCUCAUGACACGAAAGGCUCAGGCGCCCCGAGAGAGGCCCAUAUAGUAUUAGCUAGUUGGUGGGUAACGGCCCACCAAGGCCAAGAUGCUUAGCGGGUGUGAGAGCACGACCCGCGCCACUGGCACUGUGACACUGGCCAGACUCCUACGGGAGGCUGCAGUCGAGGAUCUUUGGCAAUGGGCGCAAGCCUGACCAAGCGACGCCGCGUGGGCGAUGAAGGCCUUCGGG
Molecule: ribosomal RNA, 392 nt
Filed under: uncultured bacterium
Lineage: Bacteria
Description: bacterial SSU rRNA
Rfam family: Bacterial small subunit ribosomal RNA
Source: RNAcentral